AAGAGGCGGAACCAACGCCAUUAAUCGAAAGAGGAAAAGAAGAAAAGUCAAGUGGAAAAUAAAAUCGGAGAAGAUGAAGGAAAAGGAAACGAAAGAAAGGAUUCCUGGAAGACGAAGAAGAAAUAGAAGAGACAAAAAGAAUAGAAAGCUUGGAGAAGAAGAAAGGCCGUCGUAUCGAACCGUCGCGUCGAAGCGAGUUUCGAGGUCGGUUUUAAUGAUGAAUAGACGGCGGCAAUUAAGAUGACCUAAUUAAUGCCACAUAUGAGACAAAAGUAGAGAAUAUGAUCAAGGCCGUAAAGAAGAGAAUCAGUGGCCAAGAUUAAACCGUACAAAAGAUUGUGCCACAGAUUGCUGCAGAUUAUGUCAGAGAAUUUGAAUUUGAUUGGACCGAGG
This 393-nucleotide long non-coding RNA is filed under the name Ananas comosus (pineapple). RNAcentral describes it as "long non-coding RNA (ACOM_LNC042511)". Lineage: Eukaryota; Viridiplantae; Streptophyta; Magnoliopsida; Poales; Bromeliaceae. The record is from RNAcentral.